This 1529-nucleotide long non-coding RNA is filed under the name Bos indicus x Bos taurus (hybrid cattle). RNAcentral describes it as "lncRNA (ENSBIXG00000018195.1)". The record is from RNAcentral. Lineage: Eukaryota; Metazoa; Chordata; Mammalia; Artiodactyla; Bovidae.
GUCCUGAAGCCCGUCUUCCCCUGCCCAGGCCAGCAGCCCAAUUGCCCAGUGCGGUGAGCCCCACCACCCCUCUCCUUUUUUCUGGAAGUUUCACAACCAUGUUCAAAUAUAAACACCAUUGUGUGAGAGCCCAGCAGCCCCUCGGGAGUCCCCUGUGGUGUGAUGGAUGAGCUGGGGACAGAGCCCACAUCAGUCAGCUCUUGCCUGGCCCCAGAGCAGGCCGUCAGCCCCGCCUGACUUGCAUCAUUUGUCUCCAAGUACCAGGGGAUUUUCGGCAGCUGUGGAGCCAAGCAUUUCAACAGGGAACAUAGUUCUGGUCUGCGGGAAAUGGAGACAUCUGCAAGUCUCCAGUGCCUGCAGUUAUGAGGUCCAAAGAGAACGGAUCAGAGAAGGAAACACAGCUACUCCGGCCUCUCCGCCUGCUCACAAGAGGGAGACACCCCAUCAGCAGAGGCGAGAGGGAACGGCUCCUUUCCUUGUUGGCAGUGGGCUUGGAAAUAGCCACACUGGCUUCCCCCAGGCCACCUGAUACACCUCCGGCGCCUCAGGGCAGGAAGUCUCAGAAACCAGGCAUGGUUUCUGACUGCCCACUUCAACUCUGGUUGGCACGAAAAAAAGAAGGGCUGUGCAGGAAUUGUCUCUGUGCCACAGUAGAAACCGAAGUAGAUUCUCAGUGCAAACUCACGUGAUUGAAUGGCUGUCGUCUCCAGAACAGACUGGAGCUGUCCUAUCUUAGAGGUGCUUCCGUUGGUGGCCUUGAACUUGGUUUGCAGACAGAAACUGCACUGGUACACCACAGGAGAUGGGGCAACUGAGGAUGGGGGUCGACGGGAGAUUGGCAGGAGCUGGGGCAGGAUUUUUUUCCUGACCCCAGCUGGUGAUCAGCUUAUACCCUAAAGCAGAAGGAUUAAUAACCAGGGUAAUUUUAUCCCUGUUAGAAUGUAACUACAGAUGUGGGCUUACUGGCUGAAACAGCUAAUCCUUUCUACAUUUGGCUCACUCAUGAAAUACGAUGCCUGAGGUUGUCUAAAGCACUGUUUGCACACGGGCCUGCGCUGGGCGCGGCCUCUCUCUCUCUCUCUCUCGGCUGAGUGGGCAGCUGUGGGGUGGGGUGGGGAGGCAUCUGUGCUCUGGCCUCUUGGGCAAGCUGCCUUUUCACUGGGCCGGUGAUGGAGGCGAAGGCCUGAGGCCUGUGUGUCUGUGGACUUGAAGGGUGCAGUUGAAGGAAAAUGCCAGGUGUUGGAGUGGGUGGGUGCACAGAGAGUCUGGAGAGGAGAGAAAAAAAAAAAACUCUUGGAAAAAAAUCUAAGGUUCAUUUCGACCUGAAGUCCCUGAGACUCGAGGGAUGGGGAGGCAGCAGGAGGGGGAGGGAAGGGGGAGCCCCAGGUCGAGCCAGCAGGCACCCAGGGAUUUACAGCGAGGCGAUGGUUGGAGGCUGCAAAGCGAGGAGAGACGAUUAUUAAUAAUCAAAGAGCUACUGCUGCUGGAGCAGAGAUGAAAGGCUUUCCAGGCCAGUCGGUGAUGCGCCU